Molecule: non-coding RNA, 1661 nt
Organism: Salmo salar (Atlantic salmon)
Lineage: Eukaryota; Metazoa; Chordata; Actinopteri; Salmoniformes; Salmonidae
Source: RefSeq, a predicted model, not a curated record
GUCACCAUGUCCAGGAAGGUAGUCAGGGCCAGUAAGUUCCGUCAUGUCUUCGGCCAGGGGUGAAGGCUGACCAGUGCUACGAUGACAUCCGCAUCUCCCAGAUGACCUGGGACAGCAACUUCUGCUCUGUCAACCCCAAGUUCGUGGCCAUGAUUGUGGAUGCCAGCGGAGGAGGGGCCUUCCUAGUGCUGCCUCUGAACAAGACGGGUCGUAUUGACAUGUCCCAGCCCACAGUCUGUGGACACACAGGCCCAGUGCUGGAUAUUGAGUUCUGUCCCCACAACGACAACAUCAUUGCCAGUGGUUCAGAGGACUGCAGUGUCAUGAUUUGGGAGAUCCCGGAGGGUGGCCUGGUCACGCCCUUGAACGACCCCGUGGUGAAGCUGGAGGGGCACUCCAAACGCGUGGGCAUCCUCAGUUGGCACCCCACUGCCCACAAUGUGCUCAUGAGCGCAGGUUGUGACAACGUGGUGAUCCUGUGGAACGUGGCGUGUGGAGAGGCCAUGGUGAGGAUCGACUCGGUCCACCCUGACCUCAUCUACAGUGCCUGCUGGAACAGGGACGGCUCCCAGAUCCUCACCUCCUGUAAGGACAAGACCAUACGUGUGCUGGACCCCGCAAGGGCACAGUCAUCGCCGAGAAGGAGAAGACCCACGAAGGCUCCAGGCCUGUCAAGGCUGUGUUUGUGUCCGAUGGGAAGAUCCUGAGCACCGGCUUCAGUCGCAUGAGUGAGAGGCAGGUGGCACUUUGGGACCCGAAGAGCUUUGGGGAGCCACUCACCCUGCAGGAGUUGGACACCAGCAGUGGUGUCCUAUUGCCCUUCUUUGAUCCUGACACUGGCAUCGUCUACCUCUGUGGCAAGGGUGACAGCAGUAUCCGGUACUUUGAGGUGACGGAUGAGGCUCCCUAUGUUCACUACCUGUCCAUGUACAGCAGUAAGGAGAGUCAGAAGGGCAUGGGCUACAUGCCCAAGAGGGGCCUGGAGGUCAACAAGUGUGAAAUCGCCAGGUUUUACAAGCUCCAUGAGAGGAAGUGCGAGCCCAUUGUCAUGACGGUGCCCCGCAAGUCUGACCUGUUUCAGGAGGAUUUGUACCCAGACACCAUGGGUCCAGAGCCGUCUGUGGAGGCCAAUGUGUGGUUUGAAGGCAAAGAGGGCCAACCUAUCCUGAUCUCCUUGAAGGACGGUUUUGCGACAACCACCAAAACCAAAGAGUUCAAAGUUCACAAAAGUCUUCUGAAGACCACAUCAGCAGCCAUGGGGCAUCAGCACGAUAACACUGGGGAGGUACAUGCCUUGCAGAAGGAGGUGAAGACUCUGAAGGAAACAGUAGAGGAGCUGACCAAGCGCGUGAGCGAACUGGAGAGCAAGAAUUGAAACAGAGCCAUUGGGUUCGAGAGGGAGCUGAUGGAGAGCGAGAAGGAGGUGUAAAGAGGAGAAGAGAAAGAAGGGAUGAAAGUAAAAUAGUUAUAAAUAGUUGGGGAUGUUUGAAGGAAAGAUGGUUAAAGGGAGAGUUGGAGACAUCAAUAUCAGCAGCCAAAUCAUUUCGUGUCUGGAAGCUUGAAUUCGUUUUUUGGUGUCAGUUUUCACAUUUAUAGAGACUUGUUUUUAAUAUAUGCUCUUACAUAGUUGGAAAUAAAAGUCCUUAAUAUUUUCCAAAAUA